This is a long non-coding RNA of Homo sapiens (human), 4813 nucleotides long. Lineage: Eukaryota; Metazoa; Chordata; Mammalia; Primates; Hominidae. The record is from Ensembl.
ACUCUUGGAUUUACUGCUCUGUGAGAAGACAGCUAUCGUGUCAUGAGGAAACUCAAGCAGCCCUACCAAAAAAUCCAUGUGGCAAGAAACUGAGGCUGUUUGAUAACACCCAGCAUCAACUUGUCAACCAACUGAGUGAGCCAUCUUGGACGGGGAUCCUCUAGCCCCAGGCCAGCCUUCAAAUAUCCAUAGCCCUGACCAAUGCCUGAAUAUAACUUCUGUACAGACCCUGAUCAAGAACUACCCAGCUAAGUAGCUUCUACAUUCCUGGCCCAUAGAAACUAAAACUACUAAUUUGACUUUCCAAGAUGUCACCAUUGCCCUGUGGAGAGACACAAAAAGGCCUUGGGGCUAUUGCCAAGUGUUGAAAUACCUGAACUCAGACUUCAGUUGAAGGCAAUGAUGACACCUACCCCACCGUAGCCUGAGAAGGCAUCUCUGGGAAGAAGUCGCCUAACUUAUGCCCAAAGCAUCCAUGUGUUUAUGCCUGCCUCAAGGAAGCAUGGAAAGAAAUUGAAGGGACUAGCGGAUAUAUGGUGCCACAUAAAUUUAUUUGCCUAAGGCAAGAUAGAGAGCUUUGGACAAUUUCCUCAAAGGAGCUGUUACUUUGAAAAGCUUGACAACCCACAGGUUCAUGACUCCAGAGGGAAGAGAUGCCUGGGGAAGAGACCAGUGUGAAGAAACACAGGGAAGAAUCCCUGACCCCUUGGGUCCCCUGUCGCUACCCUGAACUAAUCAUUGUAGCCUGAAUGUUCAGACCUGAAUUAUGUGCCCACCUCUAUGGCCAAAAAGUUAAGGCCCUGUAAUUGGCCACCCCAUCAGAAUCACAGGAAUGUAGGGAGAAGGGAGUAGUUCUUUCAAGAAGGAGUAGGAGACGCAGUUACCAGAGUAAGAAAUGCAGGGCCGACAAAAAUAGCAGAUGCCGACUAUACUCCUGAUGUGUGCACAACUCACCAGAAGAGCUUGCUAAAAUGCAGAGUUUGAUUCAAAAAGCCUUUGGCAGGGCCUGAGGUUCUAUAUUUCUUACAAGAUCCCAGAUGAUGUCACAGACCACACCCAGGCAGCAAGGCACUAGCCUUCUUCCACGCAUUGCCCUGAUCGUCUAAUGGGGCAGAUGCUCUAAAGCUCGGGGCUCCCCAGCAGGGACGAAUGCAAUCUCACAUGCUUGUCUGAGUGUUGUGCCUUUUCAGGACCAGCUGUGCUCCCGUCACAACACUGAAAUAGAAGAGGUGUUACACGUCAGGAUUGAGACAUAUGGGCAGAACUCUGUGAUAAAAACACUUUACAAUUUCAUAUCACCUUUCAUUCCAGAGUGUUUAGAGGCCAUAUACAUUCAGCACCACAGAAAGAUGAUAGAGGAAGCAGACUCCAUGGGGUGAAGGAGGUGGCAAGAGAUGGAGUGGGGGUGGGGGAAUCUGUAAGUCAAGCAUAGUGGGACAUUUCUCUGCAAAAGUCAACACAACACCAAAAAUGUAAAAGAGAAAAAAAAAAGCAAAUGAAGAUCUUUAAGGUUUAUGUUGAAACAGCAAUAGUACAUAAGUUAAUGUUCAGGAUCAUUUUCAUGGAGUCAUCUUAAUCUAGGCAACUCCAUAAGUUGCCUAGAUAUGUUGGUACUCUGUGAGCACAGAUGGAAAAAAAGGAAAUCAGAAAUGAGCUAAACAAAUAAGAAGAUUAAAAAUAUUAUCAGAAAAUCUAUAAGGUCUGAGUCUAGCAACCCCAGCUUAUAUAAGGUAUGUCAGUUUUCUUAAUUAAAUGAUUAAGUCUCAAAAUCUUGAAGGGCAGUUUUCGAUCACAUGUUCUCUGGCAUGGGAAGUAGCCUUUUGUUUCAGAGCAUUUAGUAAAAGAAAGGACUUUUCUAAAUGCUACAAAAUGCAAACAUGUAACUUAACCUUGAUACUCCUGAUAACAAUAGGGGUAGUUAAUAUUUGUCCUGGGGAAAAAAAAGUCACUUUAUGACAGAGGUUGAAAAUGGAAACUAACUUUUAAUGACUCCAGGAGUGUUUGCCUGUAAAAGAAAUCCACAUUCGAGCACUGCUGUUUCCCAUUUGUUAUCAAGGACUCCUGAGGGGCUUCCAGUGACUUGGAAGGAGUUCUAUUUUCACUUCUUCUGGCUCCUGUGACUAUGUCUAACAGCUGAUAAAUGAAGACCCACAAGCUCCCACAGGAUGGUUUCAAAGGGAAUGUGCUCCAGGCAGUAUGUAGCCACCUGCCAGGGAAGCACAUAUCAGAUCAAAACGGCAAGGAGAGAAAUCUUUUCCCUGUUUCACAUUUCCUGGUGUUUCCAGUGAAUUCAUUCUAUUAAUCUACUUUGUGAAAUAUUUAGUACCUCUGCUUAUUUAUGAGCAUCCACAAAAUCUUCAAGAUAACAAGAAAAAAGGGAACAGGGAUUCUUAGACCAGAAAUGCGUCUUUCGUUCUUUUUUGUUCACCGUCUGCCUUCCCUUGUUUCUUCUCCCACUCAUGCUUAAGACAAGGUGGUGAAGCCUUCCCCAGCAAGCAGAUAACAGUAGUCACUCCAUCAGGAGAAUGGAAUUUUAAAUCACAGCAUUAUUGUUUUGUCAGAGAGAAAAUCAUGGUACUUCUAGAGCUCAGAAAGGGAUUUUCCAGUACAGAUAUUUUCUUUAUAACAGAAACUCCUCAUUUUUAUUAGGAAAUACAUUAAAAUGACUUAUUACUCUUGUGCCCUCACACAGUAAUUUUGGGCUCCUGGCAGAGUCCUGGUCAAAAGCCUAUUUUUAUAAAUCAUGGGAAGUGGCUGUUGCAGCUGGUUAUCUCUUAGGAUUCUGUCAGUUCCACAACGAGAAAUGGUGCUGCCACGCUCACUCCAAAGGAAGGUGGUGGUGAAGUGUGGGUUUCAGAUAAGGAUUUACACUGAGAGGCCAGCUCUAGAAACUACACAAAAGAUAAUAGAUAGGAGACGGGCAAGGAGAAAGUUACAGUCAUAAAAUUAGAGUUAUUACAAACAGGCAAAUAAAUGAACACGUUCCAUUCUGGUUUGCUUUUACAUUUGGCAAUAGCACAAAAACAAAAUUGAAUAUGUAUCUUGUGAAUUAAAAUAAUCUACUAUGCCAGCUUGAAAGAGAAAGUUACCAAUUAAAUGGCGUAUUUUAGAUAUCCAAUCAUCUUUGUUUGAUUCAGCAUUUGACUUAUUAACUGAUAGUCCAUUUGCUUCUCAAAAACUUUAGGGUACCUCAACAUUCAACGAAUGUCAACCACAUCCAUAUGAGUUGAGCAUUUACUCUGUCCAGGCACAGUUCUAAGAAUUGGGCAUUUGUGGUAGUCAAGACAAGCAUGCCUCUGCCUCUCAGAGCUGACAGUCUAGCAGUGUAGUCUAGUUAGCAAGGAGAAUGGAAUUGUUCAUAUGUGGUGAUUGAAACCAGAACAGUGCUACUAAGAGCACUGUGACCACUGAAUCAUCAGCUACAUUGUAGAAACUCACUUAUUAAGUGUAAGUGUUAUCCCUAAUAUAAAGGGUACCACAUCACCUUUAGAUUCUACAAAGUCUCUGUCUGCUAAGUCCACACUCAUCAAAGACACUUUAGCAUGGAUACCAAAAUAUGUCCAGAACAGUUUCAGUCGAAUUCAAUUUAAGUCCAUAAGCAUCCAUCGAGUGUCUCUGAAGUGUAAAGCACAUUGUUUGGUCGUUACACCCACUCUUAGGUUGUCUAUAAUGGCAUUCAGGAGAUAUUUACAUAAAGAACAGGAAUGGAAAGCAGAAUGUAGUGGACAUUCUGUAAGAGAAGUUUAAAUUUAAGGUCUAGGUAUACUUGGGGAGAAAAUGUUAACUUUAGCUCAGAUGACUAGGGAAGAUCUCUAUAGAUAAAGUUUCAAGAACACCAUGAAGGUUGAGAGGAUCUCAUCAGAUUGGUUGGGUGAAGGCAGAAGAAUGCAAAGAUUAAGAAUUAGCAGUGCAAGGUGAUGGUCAGAAUUCUAACACCGUCUUACUAGUUGCAUGACUUACGCCAGUUUCUUAUUUGUAAAUGACAGUUAGAAAGAUUAAAUCAUAGGCUUGUUGUUGGGACUAAAGACAAUGAUUCAUGUAAAGUGCCUUACACAGUGCCUUUUAUAUAAGUACACAAUAAAUAUUAGUCUCUAUUAUUGUUACAGAAUAAGCAUAGAGGAAUGAAAACAGACAAGUACAGGGCAUGCAAGAGGAAUAGCUGAUGAAGUCCAUGAAGACCUCAUUGAAAAAGGGAGCUAGAGGACAGAUUAUUGAGGGCCUCAAAAUAAGAAAAAGUAAUAUGGCCUUUAUUGUAUAAAAAAAUAAGAAACCACUCAAGGUUUGGAGUAAGAAAGUGACAUAAUUAAAUCAUAAUUAAAUUGUAUGUCACUCUUACCAAUUUUAAGACAAUAUUUCUGAAGUCUUUUUAAGAUGCAUGGUGGUAACACUGUUCACAAUAGCAGAGACAUGGAAUCAACCUAAAUGCCCAUCAGUGACAGAACAGAUUUUUUAAAUGUGGUACAUAUACACCAUGGAAUAUUAUUCAGCCAUAAAAACAGAAUGACAGCAUGUCUUUUGCAGGAAUGCGGAUGGAGCUGGAGGCUAUCAUCCUUAGCAAACUAACACAGGAACAGAAAACCAAAUAUCACAUGUUCUCAUUUAUAAGUGGGAGCUGAAUGAUAAGAACUUAUGAGCACAAAGAAGGAAACAACAGACACUGUGGUAUGCUUGAGGUAGGAGGGUGGGAGGAGGAAGAUGAACAGAAAAGACAACUAUUGGGUACUGAGCUUAAUACCUGGGUGAUAUAAUAAUAUGUAAAACUCCCAUGACACAUGUUUCCCCAUGUAACAAACCUUCACGUGUACCCCCAAAC